This 461-nucleotide ribosomal RNA is filed under the name uncultured bacterium. RNAcentral's name for it is "partial 16S ribosomal RNA". It matches the Rfam family "Bacterial small subunit ribosomal RNA", at positions 28 to 505 of the family's 1533-position model. The record is from RNAcentral.
GACGAACGCUGGCGGCGUGCUUAACACAUGCAAGUCGAACGGAAAGGCCUUUUCGGAGGUACUCGAGUGGCGAACGGGUGAGUAACACGUGGGUGAUCUGCCCUGCACUCUGGGAUAAGCCUGGGAAACUGGGUCUAAUACCGGAUAGGACCGCCCUUUAGGGUGUGUGGUGGAAAGUUUUUUCGGUGUAGGAUGAGCCCGCGGCCUAUCAGCUUGUUGGUGGGGUAAUGGCCUACCAAGGCGGCGACGGGUAGCCGGACUGAGAGGUUGGUCGGCCACAUUGGGACUAAGAUACGGCCCAGACUCCUACGGGAGGCAGCAGGGGGGAAUAUGGCACAAUGGGCGAAGGCCUGAUGCAGCGACGCCGCGUGGGGGAUGACGGCCUUCGGGUUGUAAACUCCUUUCGCCAGGGACGAAGCGUUUUGUGACGGCACCUGAAGAAGAAGCACCGGCUAACUACG